Molecule: ribosomal RNA, 781 nt
Filed under: Pseudomigadops n. sp. MSL2007
Lineage: Eukaryota; Metazoa; Arthropoda; Insecta; Coleoptera; Carabidae
Description: partial 16S ribosomal RNA
Rfam family: Bacterial large subunit ribosomal RNA (bases 1-570)
Source: RNAcentral
AUUUAAAGUCUAGCCUGCCCACUGAAAUUAAUUUUAAUGGCCGCAGUAUUUUGACUGUGCAAAGGUAGCAUAAUCAUUAGUUUUUUAAUUGAAAGCUUGUAUGAAAGGUUGGACGAGGUAAAAUCUGUCUCUAUUUAAUUUAUUUUAGAAUUUAAUUUUUAAGUUAAAAAGCUUAAAUUUUAUUAAAAGACGAGAAGACCCUAUAGAUCUUUAUAAUUUUUGUUAUAAAUUUAAUUAUGAAUUAUUUAGAAUUUAUAAUAUAAAUUAUUUUAUUGGGGUAAUAAAAAGAUUAAAAUAAUUCUUUUUUAUUUUUAACAUUAAUUUAUGAAUUUAAUGAUCCAAUUUUAUUGAUUAUAAGAUUAAGUUACCUUAGGGAUAACAGCGUAAUUUUUUUAGAGAGUUCAUAUCGAUAAAAAAGUUUGCGACCUCGAUGUUGGAUUAAAGAUUAGUUUAGGUGUAGAAGUUUAAAUUUUUGGUCUGUUCGACCAUUAAAUCUUUACAUGAUCUGAGUUCAGACCGGCGUAAGCCAGGUCGGUUUCUAUCUUUAAUAAUUUUAAAAUAUUUUAGUACGAAAGGACCAAAUAUUUAAUAUAUUUAUAUUUUAUUUUUUGAAUAUUAUUAAAUUGUUUUGGCAGAUUAGUGUAAUGAAUUUAGAAUUCAUAAAUGUAAUUAUUUUUACAAACAAUACUUGUUUUAUAUAGAUUUAAUUUUUUCUUUAAUUUGUAUAUUUUUAUUAAUUAUUUGUGUUUUAGUUGGGGUAGCAUUUUUAACUUUAUUAGAA